Molecule: ribosomal RNA, 433 nt
Filed under: uncultured bacterium
Lineage: Bacteria
Description: partial 16S ribosomal RNA
Rfam family: Bacterial small subunit ribosomal RNA
Source: RNAcentral
AACGAACGCUGGCGGCAUGCCUAACACAUGCAAGUCGAACGAGACCUUCGGGUCUAGUGGCGCACGGGUGCGUAACGCGUGGGAACCUGCCCUUAGGUUCGGGAUAACUCCCCGAAAGGGGUGCUAAUACCGGAUAAUGUCUUCGGACCAAAGAUUUAUCGCCUUUGGAUGGGCCCGCGUUGGAUUAGCUAGUUGGUAGGGUAAAAGCCUACCAAGGCGACGAUCCAUAGCUGGUCUGAGAGGAUGAUCAGCCACACUGGGACUGAGACACGGCCCAGACUCCUACGGGAGGCAGCAGCGGGGAAUAUUGGACAAUGGGCGAAAGCCUGAUCCAGCAAUGCCGCGUGAGUGAUGAAGGCCUUAGGGUUGUAAAGCUCUUUUACCCGGGAUGAUAAUGACAGUACCGGGAGAAUAAGCUCCGGCUAACUCCGUG